This 468-nucleotide ribosomal RNA is filed under the name uncultured bacterium. Its description in RNAcentral is "partial 16S ribosomal RNA". It matches the Rfam family "Bacterial small subunit ribosomal RNA", at positions 28 to 507 of the family's 1533-position model. The record is from RNAcentral.
GACGAACGCUGGCGGCGUGCUUAACACAUGCAAGUCGAACGGAAAGGCCCUGCUUUUGUGGGGUGCUCGAGUGGCGAACGGGUGAGUAACACGUGAGUAACCUGCCCUUGACUUUGGGAUAACUUCAGGAAACUGGGGCUAAUACCGGAUAGGAGCUCCUGCUGCAUGGUGGGGGUUGGAAAGUUUCGGCGGUUGGGGAUGGACUGGCGGCUUAUCAGCUUGUUGGUGGGGUAGUGGCUUACCAAGGCUUUGACGGGUAGCCGGCCUGAGAGGGUGACCGGCGACAUUGGGACUGAGAUACGGCCCAGACGCCUACGGGAGGCAGCAGUGGGGAAUAUUACACAAUGGGCGGAAGCCUGAUGCAGCAACGCCGCGUGCGGGAUGACGGCCUUCGGGUGGUAAACCGCUUUCGCCUGUGACGAAGCGUGAGUGACGGUAAUGGGUAAAGAAGCACCGGCUAACUACGUG